Molecule: ribosomal RNA, 253 nt
Filed under: uncultured bacterium
Lineage: Bacteria
Description: partial 16S ribosomal RNA
Rfam family: Bacterial small subunit ribosomal RNA
Source: RNAcentral
UACGAAGGGGGCUAGCGUUGUUCGGAAUUACUGGGCGUAAAGCGCGCGCAGGCGGUCUUCCAAGUCAGCGGUGAAAGCCUGGAGCUCAACUCCAGAACUGCCAUUGAAACUGUUAGACUUGAGUACGAGAGAGGUGAGUGGAAUUCCCAGUGUAGAGGUGAAAUUCGUAGAUAUUGGGAAGAACACCAGUGGCGAAGGCGGCUCACUGGCUCGUAACUGACGCUCAGGCGCGACAGCGUGGGGAUCAAACAGG